AUUGAACGCUGGCGGCAGGCCUAACACAUGCAAGUCGAACGAGUGGCGGACGGGUGAGUAAUGUCUGGGAAACUGCCUGAUGGAGGGGGAUAACUACUGGAAACGGUAGCUAAUACCGCAUACCAUCGGAUGUGCCCAGAUGGGAUUCGCUUGUUGGUGGGGUAACGGCUCACCCAGGCGACGAUCCCUAGCUGGUCUGAGAGGAUGACCAGCCACAAUGGAACUGGGACACGGUCCAGACUCCUACGGGAGGCAGCAGUGGGGAAUAUGGCACAAUGGGCGCAAGCCUGAUGCAGCAAUGCCGCGUGUAUGAAGAAGGCCGUCGGGUUGUAAAGUACUUUCAGCGGGGAGGCGUUACCCGCAGAAGAAGCACCGGCUAACUCCGUGCCAGCAGCCGCGGUAAUAC
Molecule: ribosomal RNA, 406 nt
Filed under: uncultured bacterium
Lineage: Bacteria
Description: partial 16S ribosomal RNA
Rfam family: Bacterial small subunit ribosomal RNA
Source: RNAcentral